This 253-nucleotide ribosomal RNA is filed under the name uncultured bacterium. Its description in RNAcentral is "partial 16S ribosomal RNA". It matches the Rfam family "Bacterial small subunit ribosomal RNA", at positions 524 to 776 of the family's 1533-position model. The record is from RNAcentral.
UACAGAGACUGCAAGCGUUAUUCGGAUUCACUGGGCGUAAAGGGCGCGUAGGCGGCCGAUCAAGUCAGGCGUGAAAUUCCCGGGCUCAACCUGGGGGCUGCGCUUGAUACUGAUUGGCUUGAAUGCGGGAGAGGAUAGUGGAAUUCCCAGUGUAGAGGUGAAAUUCGUAGAUAUUGGGAAGAACACCGGUGGCGAAGGCGGCUAUCUGGCCCGUAAUUGACGCUGAGGCGCGAAAGCGUGGGGAGCAAACAGG